Molecule: microRNA precursor, 99 nt
Filed under: Carlito syrichta (Philippine tarsier)
Lineage: Eukaryota; Metazoa; Chordata; Mammalia; Primates; Tarsiidae
Description: miRNA (ENSTSYG00000025576.1)
Source: RNAcentral
GAGGUAGAAGGAUCACUUGAGCCCAGGAGUGUGAGGCUGCAGUGAACUAUGAUUACACCACUGCACUCCAGCCUGAGUGACAGAGUAAGACCUUGUCUC